Molecule: long non-coding RNA, 1028 nt
Organism: Lepisosteus oculatus (spotted gar)
Lineage: Eukaryota; Metazoa; Chordata; Actinopteri; Semionotiformes; Lepisosteidae
Source: RefSeq, a predicted model, not a curated record
AGAGGGGGCGGGGCAUCCAGUACAACAGGAACUCAUGUCGGGGUCUGUUUUCCUGUCAACACGAGCGACGAGGCGGGCGGAGGACUGCCCUGAUAAAGCGAUCUGCCUCGGAGUUAGUGCUGUGGCCGCAGGAAAGACCUGACAGUCAUGGGACGGAACGGUACGGUACGGGUUUCUCACUGUUGCUGAGGUGCUGGCGAUUUGAAAAGACCUGGAAACCUGCAGGCACACCCACCCUCUAGGACAAGGACUGGACAGUCCUGAGCAGGUUAAUUUCUCAGAGGAGCAGCACUGUGAUAGGACAGAUGUGGCUGGUUGGAGACUAUAAUCUGUGAUCAGCUUUCAUUUGAACCGGUCUGUGUCUUCAUUGCAGAUGAAGUCAAUUGCUACUUGUCCACUGAUGACGUCGGGGUCUAUAAGCAUAAGGGGGUGGAGGCUGUACUGGAUGAACUAAGAUAAAAUAAGAUUUUAACCGGACUGCUGUUGACACUGACAGUCUAGAUGAGCUGCAGAAGGAUUUAAAGUAAUGAUGUUAUUGAGCUUUUCAAGUACACUUAUCAAUUAUUUUUAGGAGAUAAUCAAUGUAGUGAUAAAUGAAUGGGCUGGUUUUAAGGUGAACAGAGGUAAGUUAUGGUUAAGUGUGGUUUUAGAGAACUUAAGCAUUGGUCUUAAACACAGUUCUUGAAGGGCCUUGUGUCUUCUGCGUUAUGUUUAAGCCUAAAUAGGGAAUUAACUUAUUUGUAUUACAAAUUUUACAGUUGAUCACUCAAGACAUUCAUUUCAUUAAAGUUACAGUGACCAAUAGAUGUCCUUGGAGCCAGGUUAUAAACAGGCCAACAUUGUUAAUGAGAAAGUGGGUGAAAUAUAACACAGAAGACAUGCAGGUCCUGCAGGAACUACAUUUGAGAUCCCUCUUCUACAGAAAACAAACUGUGCCGGCUCUUGAACCUGGUUCCAGUUUGUGCGCAUGCCCUGUUAUAUUGGAGAUAAUAUGCAAAACAUUUAAAUAAACUGAUUGAUCUUUAAAA